UACGGAGGGUGCAAGCAUUAAUCGGAUUUAUUGGGCGUAAAGGGCGCGUAGGCGGGGAUAUAAGUCAGAUGUGAAAUCCUGGGGCUCAACCUCAGAACUGCAUUUGAAACUAUAUCUCUUGAGGGUAGGAGGAGAAAACGGAAUUCCACAAGUAGCGGUGAAAUGCGUAGAUAUGUGGAAGAACACCGGUGGCGAAGGCGGUUUUCUAUCUUAUUCCUGACGCUGAGGCGCGAAAGCAAGGGGAUCAAACAGG
Molecule: ribosomal RNA, 253 nt
Filed under: uncultured bacterium
Lineage: Bacteria
Description: partial 16S ribosomal RNA
Rfam family: Bacterial small subunit ribosomal RNA
Source: RNAcentral